RNAcentral lists this ribosomal RNA (1522 nucleotides) under metagenome. Its description in RNAcentral is "bacterial SSU rRNA". It matches the Rfam family "Bacterial small subunit ribosomal RNA". The record is from RNAcentral.
AGAGUUUGAUCAUGGCUCAGAUUGAACGCUGGCGGCAGGCCUAACACAUGCAAGUCGAACGGUAACAGGAAACAGCUUGCUGUUUCGCUGACGAGUGGCGGACGGGUGAGUAAUGUCUGGGAAACUGCCUGAUGGAGGGGGAUAACUACUGGAAACGGUAGCUAAUACCGCAUAACGUCGCAAGACCAAAGAGGGGGACCUUCGGGCCUCUUGCCAUCAGAUGUGCCCAGAUGGGAUUAGCUAGUAGGUGGGGUAACGGCUCACCUAGGCGACGAUCCCUAGCUGGUCUGAGAGGAUGACCAGCCACACUGGAACUGAGACACGGUCCAGACUCCUACGGGAGGCAGCAGUGGGGAAUAUUGCACAAUGGGCGCAAGCCUGAUGCAGCCAUGCCGCGUGUAUGAAGAAGGCCUUCGGGUUGUAAAGUACUUUCAGCGGGGAGGAAGGGAGUAAAGUUAAUACCUUUGCUCAUUGACGUCACCCGCAGAAGAAGCACCGGCUAACUCCGUGCCAGCAGCCGCGGUAAUACGGAGGGUGCAAGCGUUAAUCGGAAUUACUGGGCGUAAAGCGCACGCAGGCGGUUUGUUAAGUCAGAUGUGAAAUCCCCGGGCUCAACCUGGGAACUGCAUCUGAUACUGGCAAGCUUGAGUCUCGUAGAGGGGGGUAGAAUUCCAGGUGUAGCGGUGAAAUGCGUAGAGAUCUGGAGGAAUACCGGUGGCGAAGGCGGCCCCCUGGACGAAGACUGACGCUCAGGUGCGAAAGCGUGGGGAGCAAACAGGAUUAGAUACCCUGGUAGUCCACGCCGUAAACGAUGUCGACUUGGAGGUUGUGCCCUUGAGGCGUGGCUUCCGGAGCUAACGCGUUAAGUCGACCGCCUGGGGAGUACGGCCGCAAGGUUAAAACUCAAAUGAAUUGACGGGGGCCCGCACAAGCGGUGGAGCAUGUGGUUUAAUUCGAUGCAACGCGAAGAACCUUACCUGGUCUUGACAUCCACGGAAGUUUUCAGAGAUGAGAAUGUGCCUUCGGGAACCGUGAGACAGGUGCUGCAUGGCUGUCGUCAGCUCGUGUUGUGAAAUGUUGGGUUAAGUCCCGCAACGAGCGCAACCCUUAUUCUUUGUUGCCAGCGGUCCGGCCGGGAACUCAAAGGAGACUGCCAGUGAUAAACUGGAGGAAGGUGGGGAUGACGUCAAGUCAUCAUGGCCCUUACGACCAGGGCUACACACGUGCUACAAUGGCGCAUACAAAGAGAAGCGACCUCGCGAGAGCAAGCGGACCUCAUAAAGUGCGUCGUAGUCCGGAUUGGAGUCUGCAACUCGACUCCAUGAAGUCGGAAUCGCUAGUAAUCGUGGAUCAGAAUGCCACGGUGAAUACGUUCCCGGGCCUUGUACACACCGCCCGUCACACCAUGGGAGUGGGUUGCAAAAGAAGUAGGUAGCUUAACCUUCGGGAGGGCGCUUACCACUUUGUGAUUCAUGACUGGGGUGAAGUCGGAACAAGGUAACCGUAGGGGAACCUGCGGUUG